GACAGUUUGGCCGAGUAGUCUAAGGCCCCAGAUUUAGGCUCUGGUCCGAAAGAGUUUGGGUUAAAAUCCCACAGCUGUCA
This is a non-coding RNA of Glycine max (soybean), 80 nucleotides long. NCBI's taxonomy places the organism in Eukaryota, Viridiplantae, Streptophyta, Magnoliopsida, Fabales, Fabaceae. The record is from Rfam.